Molecule: ribosomal RNA, 501 nt
Filed under: uncultured bacterium
Lineage: Bacteria
Description: partial 16S ribosomal RNA
Rfam family: Bacterial small subunit ribosomal RNA
Source: RNAcentral
GACGAACGCUGGCGGCGUGCCUAAUACAUGCAAGUCGAGCGGACCGGAUUGGGGCUUGCCUUGAUUCGGUCAGCGGCGGACGGGUGAGUAACACGUGGGCAACCUGCCCGCAAGACCGGGAUAACUCCGGGAAACCGGAGCUAAUACCGGAUAACACCGAAGACCGCAUGGUCUUCGGUUGAAAGGCGGCCUUUGGGCUGUCACUUGCGGAUGGGCCCGCGGCGCAUUAGCUAGUUGGUGAGGUAACGGCUCACCAAGGCGACGAUGCGUAGCCGGCCUGAGAGGGUGACCGGCCACACUGGGACUGAGACACGGCCCAGACUCCUACGGGAGGCAGCAGUAGGGAAUCUUCCGCAAUGGGCGAAAGCCUGACGGAGCGACGCCGCGUGAGCGAAGAAGGCCUUCGGGUCGUAAAGCUCUGUUGUGAGGGACGAAGGAGCGUCGUUCGAAGAGGGCGGCGCGGUGACGGUACCUCACGAGAAGGCCCCGGCUAACUACGUG